RNAcentral lists this ribosomal RNA (467 nucleotides) under uncultured bacterium. RNAcentral's name for it is "partial 16S ribosomal RNA". It matches the Rfam family "Bacterial small subunit ribosomal RNA", at positions 28 to 507 of the family's 1533-position model. The record is from RNAcentral.
GACGAACGCUGGCGGCGUGCUUAACACAUGCAAGUCGAACGGAAAGGCUCCAGCUUGCUGGCGUACUCGAGUGGCGAACGGGUGAGUAACACGUGGGUAAUCUGCCCUGCACUCUGGGAUAAGCCUGGGAAACUGGGUCUAAUACUGGAUAUGACCUUUCUCCUUAUGGGGUUUGGUGGAAAGUUUUUCGGUGUAGGAUGAGCCCGCGGCCUAUCAGCUUGUUGGUGGGGUGAUGGCCUACCAAGGCGACGACGGGUAGCCGGCCUGAGAGGGUGAUCGGCCACAUUGGGACUGAGAUACGGCCCAGACUCCUACGGGAGGCAGCAGUGGGGAAUAUUGCACAAUGGGCGGAAGCCUGAUGCAGCGACGCCGCGUGAGGGAUGACGGCCUUCGGGUUGUAAACCCCUUUCAGCAGGGACGAAGCGUAAGUGACGGUACCUGCAGAAGAAGCACCGGCUAACUAUGUG